This 250-nucleotide long non-coding RNA is filed under the name Ananas comosus (pineapple). Its description in RNAcentral is "long non-coding RNA (ACOM_LNC006840)". Lineage: Eukaryota; Viridiplantae; Streptophyta; Magnoliopsida; Poales; Bromeliaceae. The record is from RNAcentral.
CCUUCGCGUAACGAUGCUAAGCCAGUUGGUAGCUGUCCUAUAUGGAGGCGCGUCCUCAGCACGGUGGCGCCCUUCCACACCUCGGUUUCUUUCUCCUUGGGCAACGGAAAAGGGGGGGUCUUUCUGGAAUUCUAGAUGGUGCGGAGACUUCUUCCUCAAACAUAUCCUGCCACACUUUUAUGCGGCAUCGAACUCUAAACAUCUCUCGGUCGCAAACUGGAUCAGACGCUUCGCAACACGCUCCAAUUUG